This is a long non-coding RNA of Thalassophryne amazonica, 219 nucleotides long. RefSeq lists it as uncharacterized. Lineage: Eukaryota; Metazoa; Chordata; Actinopteri; Batrachoidiformes; Batrachoididae. The transcript has 3 exons. The record is from RefSeq and is a predicted model, not a curated record.
AUGAGGCACAGAGCAGCUGAUGAUCUUCUGGGCUGUGAUGACAACCCUCUGGAGAGCUUUCCUGUCUGUGACUGUGCAGCUAGAAAACCACACACACAGACAGUAGGUCAAAAUGCUCUCUAUGGAGCAGCGAUAGAAGGACACCAGCAGUCCCUGUGGCAGACGGUUAUUCCUGAGAACCCUCAGGAAAUAAGAGUCUCUGCUGUACCUUCUUGAUGG